GAUGAACGCUGGCGGCGUGCCUAAUACAUGCAAGUCGAGCGAACGGACGAGAAGCUUGCUUCUCUGAUGUUAGCGGCGGACGGGUGAGUAACACGUGGAUAACCUACCUAUAAGACUGGGAUAACUUCGGGAAACCGGAGCUAAUACCGGAUAAUAUUUUGAACCGCAUGGUUCAAAAGUGAAAGACGGUCUUGCUGUCACUUAUAGAUGGAUCCGCGCUGCAUUAGCUAGUUGGUAAGGUAACGGCUUACCAAGGCAACGAUGCAUAGCCGACCUGAGAGGGUGAUCGGCCACACUGGAACUGAGACACGGUCCAGACUCCUACGGGAGGCAGCAGUAGGGAAUCUUCCGCAAUGGGCGAAAGCCUGACGGAGCAACGCCGCGUGAGUGAUGAAGGUCUUCGGAUCGUAAAACUCUGUUAUUAGGGAAGAACAUAUGUGUAAGUAACUGUGCACAUCUUGACGGUACCUAAUCAGAAAGCCACGGCUAACUACGUGCCAGCAGCCGCGGUAAUACGUAGGUGGCAAGCGUUAUCCGGAAUUAUUGGGCGUAAAGCGCGCGUAGGCGGUUUUUUAAGUCUGAUGUGAAAGCCCACGGCUCAACCGUGGAGGGUCAUUGGAAACUGGAAAACUUGAGUGCAGAAGAGGAAAGUGGAAUCCCAUGUGUAGCGGUGAAAUGCGCAGAGAUAUGGAGGAACACCAGUGGCGAAGGCGACUUUCUGGUCCGUAACUGACGCUGAUGUGCGAAAGCGUGGGGAUCAAACUGGAUUAGAUACCCUGGUAGUCCACGCCGUAAACGAUGAGUGCUAAGUGUUAGGGGGUUUCCGCCCCUUAGUGCUGCAGCUAACGCAUUAAGCACUCCGCCUGGGGAGUACGACCGCAAGGUUGAAACUCAAAGGAAUUGACGGGGACCCGCACAAGCGGUGGAGCAUGUGGUUUAAUUCGAAGCAACGCGAAGAACCUUACCAAAUCUUGACAUCCUUUGACAACUCUAGAGAUAGAGCCUUCCCCUUCGGGGGACAAAGUGACAGGUGGUGCAUGGUUGUCGUCAGCUCGUGUCGUGAGAUGUUGGGUUAAGUCCCGCAACGAGCGCAACCCUUAAGCUUAGUUGCCAUCAUUAAGUUGGGCACUCUAAGUUGACUGCCGGUGACAAACCGGAGGAAGGUGGGGAUGACGUCAAAUCAUCAUGCCCCUUAUGAUUUGGGCUACACACGUGCUACAAUGGACAAUACAAAGGGCAGCGAAACCGCGAGGUCAAGCAAAUCCCAUAAAGUUGUUCUCAGUUCGGAUUGUAGUCUGCAACUCGACUACAUGAAGCUGGAAUCGCUAGUAAUCGUAGAUCAGCAUGCUACGGUGAAUACGUUCCCGGGUCU
RNAcentral lists this ribosomal RNA (1372 nucleotides) under uncultured bacterium. RNAcentral describes it as "bacterial SSU rRNA". It matches the Rfam family "Bacterial small subunit ribosomal RNA", at positions 28 to 1381 of the family's 1533-position model. The record is from RNAcentral.